GCCUUCUUAGCUCAGUGGUAGAGCGCGCCACUCGUACAAUCCUGUGUGCUAUGGUGAGGUCGGUUGUUCAAUCCAGCCAGGAGGCA
Non-coding RNA from Trametes pubescens, 86 nucleotides. Lineage: Eukaryota; Fungi; Basidiomycota; Agaricomycetes; Polyporales; Polyporaceae. The record is from the annotation of a GenBank genome assembly.